RNAcentral lists this ribosomal RNA (429 nucleotides) under uncultured soil bacterium. RNAcentral describes it as "bacterial SSU rRNA". It matches the Rfam family "Bacterial small subunit ribosomal RNA", at positions 29 to 441 of the family's 1533-position model. The record is from RNAcentral.
AACGAACGCUGGCGGCGUGCCUAACGCAUGCAAGUCGAACGAGAAAGGGGCUUCGGCUCCGAGUAAAGUGGCGCACGGGUGAGUAACACGUGGGUAACCUGCCUCUAAGAUUGGGAUAACUCGUCGAAAGAUGAGCUAAUACCGAAUAAGACCACAGUUCCCGCGGGAACAGGGGUCAAAGGUAGCCUCUGCUUGCAAGCUAUCACUUAAAGAUGGGCCUGCGCACCAUUAGCUAGUUGGUAGGGUAACGGCCUACCAAGGCAAAGAUGGUUAGCUGGUCUGAGAGGAUGAUCAGCCACACUGGAACUGAGACACGGUCCUGACUCCUACGGGAGGCAGCAGUGGGGAAUUUUGGACAAUGGGCGCAAGCCUGAUCCAGCCAUGCCGCGUGAGUGAAGAAGGCCUUCGGGUUGUAAAGCUCUUUCGGCG